AGUUGUAGAGGAUAAGAGCUAUCCAUUGGUCUCAGGAACCAAAAAUAUUGGUGCAACUCCAAAUACAAGUA
This is a transfer RNA of Pan troglodytes (chimpanzee), 71 nucleotides long. It matches the Rfam family "tRNA". From Rfam's summary of the family: Transfer RNA (tRNA) molecules are approximately 80 nucleotides in length. The record is from Rfam. Lineage: Eukaryota; Metazoa; Chordata; Mammalia; Primates; Hominidae.